This is a long non-coding RNA of Mastomys coucha (southern multimammate mouse), 349 nucleotides long. RefSeq lists it as uncharacterized. The record is from RefSeq and is a predicted model, not a curated record. NCBI's taxonomy places the organism in Eukaryota, Metazoa, Chordata, Mammalia, Rodentia, Muridae. The transcript is spliced from 3 exons.
AGCAAAUCUUAGCCAGCAAUGGUGGCUCAAAGCUGAAGCCCCAGCAAAGGGAGACUGCAGCUGAGGACCUCCUCAGUUCAGAGUCAGCCUACCUGGGCUGCUGCACAGCAAGACCAUGUCUCAAGCAAACAAGCAAAGCCUUGUAUCUUGCAGAUUUCUUCUUUUGUCUUCUUUGGAAUGUAGCAAUUUGAUAGACUUAAACUCAGUAAAUAUUGAGAGAAGGAAUGAGCAUGUGCAUCUGGGAGUGCCCUGCCAUCAAAGGAGGCACAGGGUGAGAGUCUGCUGAUAAUGGGACACAUAGAAGAGGUCCUGAAUUCAAUUCCCAGCAACCACAUGGUGGCCCACAACC